RNAcentral lists this ribosomal RNA (1067 nucleotides) under Escherichia coli. Its description in RNAcentral is "partial 23S ribosomal RNA". It matches the Rfam family "Bacterial large subunit ribosomal RNA", at positions 419 to 1491 of the family's 2925-position model. The record is from RNAcentral. Lineage: Bacteria; Pseudomonadati; Pseudomonadota; Gammaproteobacteria; Enterobacterales; Enterobacteriaceae.
GGGACACGUGGUAUCCUGUCUGAAUAUGGGGGGACCAUCCUCCAAGGCUAAAUACUCCUGACUGACCGAUAGUGAACCAGUACCGUGAGGGAAAGGCGAAAAGAACCCCGGCGAGGGGAGUGAAAAAGAACCUGAAACCGUGUACGUACAAGCAGUGGGAGCACGCUUAGGCGUGUGACUGCGUACCUUUUGUAUAAUGGGUCAGCGACUUAUAUUCUGUAGCAAGGUUAACCGAAUAGGGGAGCCGAAGGGAAACCGAGUCUUAACUGGGCGUUAAGUUGCAGGGUAUAGACCCGAAACCCGGUGAUCUAGCCAUGGGCAGGUUGAAGGUUGGGUAACACUAACUGGAGGACCGAACCGACUAAUGUUGAAAAAUUAGCGGAUGACUUGUGGCUGGGGGUGAAAGGCCAAUCAAACCGGGAGAUAGCUGGUUCUCCCCGAAAGCUAUUUAGGUAGCGCCUCGUGAAUUCAUCUCCGGGGGUAGAGCACUGUUUCGGCAAGGGGGUCAUCCCGACUUACCAACCCGAUGCAAACUGCGAAUACCGGAGAAUGUUAUCACGGGAGACACACGGCGGGUGCUAACGUCCGUCGUGAAGAGGGAAACAACCCAGACCGCCAGCUAAGGUCCCAAAGUCAUGGUUAAGUGGGAAACGAUGUGGGAAGGCCCAGACAGCCAGGAUGUUGGCUUAGAAGCAGCCAUCAUUUAAAGAAAGCGUAAUAGCUCACUGGUCGAGUCGGCCUGCGCGGAAGAUGUAACGGGGCUAAACCAUGCACCGAAGCUGCGGCAGCGACACUAUGUGUUGUUGGGUAGGGGAGCGUUCUGUAAGCCUGUGAAGGUGUGCUGUGAGGCAUGCUGGAGGUAUCAGAAGUGCGAAUGCUGACAUAAGUAACGAUAAAGCGGGUGAAAAGCCCGCUCGCCGGAAGACCAAGGGUUCCUGUCCAACGUUAAUCGGGGCAGGGUGAGUCGACCCCUAAGGCGAGGCCGAAAGGCGUAGUCGAUGGGAAACAGGUUAAUAUUCCUGUACUUGGUGUUACUGCGAAGGGGGGACGGAGAAGGCUAUGUUGGC